RNAcentral lists this long non-coding RNA (22481 nucleotides) under Phoenix dactylifera (date palm). Its description in RNAcentral is "long non-coding RNA (PDAC_LNC001539)". The record is from RNAcentral. Lineage: Eukaryota; Viridiplantae; Streptophyta; Magnoliopsida; Arecales; Arecaceae.
UUGUGUUUGAGGUUUUUAUGCUCGACCUAACCUGGUUCUAUAUAAAUUGCUUAAUUUAAUGCAUGCAUGCAUGCACAUAUACACAUACACAUAUAUAUAAAUAUAUACAUAUGUAAAUGCAUAUAAUAUUAAUUUUACUGGUACAUCUUUCAAUUGUAAAAAUAAAAAAGUAAUAGUAUAUCAACAUAUAAUUGGAAAUUUAUACUUAAGUGUAUCUUUUCAUUUUUUAAUCUAUUAUUAUAUGAUUAACCAUCAAGUACGCGUUAUUAAUGAUUUAAUAUUUGUAACAUGCAUUUAAUGUCUCAUUAAGAAACUCCUCAAGGCAUAGAUUAUUUAGCUUGAUUAACUAUAAUAUUUGAUAUCCGAGGGAUACUCGGAUCCAACCUUCAAUAUAUUGCUUAAUUAUCCGAACCAAAACUCUAUCAGAUCCUUCAAUAUAUUGCUUAUGGAAUAAAUAUUAGACUCGAGUCUCAACAAGCAUGGGUCUAGGUUAGUAUUUGGAAUAAAUAUUAGACUCCGGAUUGCAUAGCACCACUACAUUGUUGUGAUCCUUAAUUAAAACAAUCCACUUAGAUUAGUCCAAAUACUCUUAGCGAGGAUAUAAGAACUUAUCACAUUAUACUUCUGCUUGGAUAAGUACCACAUGUUGCAUGUGUGGGAUCAUAAACAUUUGGGUUGUAUUCCUUCCCUGGUACAUUGCUUACAUUCAUUGCACAUGCCACUAAUGCAUACUGAGAGAAAAAAAUUCAAAGAACAAACAUCCUAAUCAAAUGAAGUAGCAGUUUGUGUCAAAUUUAAAUCAUUCAUUAAAUACUCUCAAAUAGCAAUAAAUUUUGAAAAAAAAAUUAAGGUUAGGGACAUCUCAAAUGCAUAUAAAUAUGGCAAAUUAUAGUUUAUAGUAGAUACCUGCGCUUGUUGCCGAGAAGCCAACUCAAAUUAGGGUAAGAGAGGUUAGGUUUCUUUUCUGUACAUGGUUUGUGUAUGGAAAUUGCCCGAACAUUAUGCUAAUUUAUCACAAAUAUAUUUAUUUGUGCAUCUUGGAUGCUAUAAUAGUAUAAUAACCAUAUUAGCAAAACUAAAGACUGCCUAUCUUUAUCAAUUUUAUCCUUAUUCUUGUUAUUUUUCUAUAAUAUAUAGUAAUUUAUUUGAGUGCAUCCCAUGGAUAUUUUGGUUGUUACCCACCAUCUAAUAAAAGCAUAAAGGGAAAACAAACACUUUGUCUCAUCAACCAAGUUGAACCAUUCCAUUGCAAUAACUAUUAUACAGCUAGGGCAGCUAUUAUUCAAUAUUUCCACUGGCCACUUGUCACUUGAUCUUACUUUAAAAUAGAUACCAUAUUUUCCAAAUGGUAACAUAACCUAUUAACACUUAUUUUAUCUUUUUUGGUACAUGUUAGCACCUAUUUUAUCAUUAUAUUCUCAGCAAAAGAAAUAAACUUUGAUUGAUGCUGACAUGAAAUUUUUUUAUUAAAACGACAGAUGAUAGUAUAUCCAAUGUCAGGGUAUGGAUAGUACGAAGAGCAAAGGACUUGAGCUGAGAAAGAAGACUUGACCUGUAAAUAAUAAAUCCAAAUAUAAACUAUGCGGCAGCGAAUCUGAUCUGGUUAUCCCUAACCGGAAUAGUAUAUUCCGCCACACCUUCAAACUCUACCCGUCCGAUCAAGAUCGGACAGCCCUGAUAACGACCAUCCGUACUAGUUCUAACAUUGGAGACAGCCCUAAUGGCAGACCCCGCAAUUCACGGCAACGACGAGGGCGUUCGAUUUCAGUUUGAUGCCAACCAAUCAAAACGUGUUUUGCCUGGUGGGCCCGCCCAAAAGAAGCAAAAAUUAAACGAAGCUUCCCUUCUUUCCUUUCGUUUAAAAAGUGCUGUCUGCCCGAUCGAACUCGUCCAAAGAAAGAAUGAAAGAAAAAUUCUUCCUUUCUCGUUGUUGGAAUUCCCUCCCAACUCUUUGAUUCAUCCUUUGAUUCAAAGCAGAGUGGAAGAAGGCGGGAUUAGGGAGUAAAAGGUGAAAAUCUUGAAGAAAGAUCGAAGUUUUCGACGUGUUUUGUGGAUUCUAAAACUUUUUGGUUGUGUUUUCUGUUUUAUUUGUUUUGAAGGUUUCGAGCUAGGGUUCAACUUUUUAUUCCAAUCCGUGUUGGAUUCGAGGUUUUUCUACUCUUCCGGAUUUUCAAGUCGGAACGUUUACAGUGGCGAUCGAGCUUGGUGCUGGACCCCGUAAUUUUAAUGAUCUCCUUAUGAGUUUGUUUUUUUUUUUCCUUGGUUUUUAGGAGGAGUUGACUCGUCGUAGUUUGAAACUCAUUAAAAUUUGGUUUUAAUUUAUGUUUGACGAAAUUCAGUUUGGGAGAUGACCGAUUGAUCUUGACGUGUAGGAAUGAAACUUUUGACGCAGAUAGUUAACGUUUGCGUUUUUAUUCAUGGAUAUUGUUAUGUUACAAAUCUCUCUCUCUCUCUCUGGUUCUUUUAAUUGUCUUCACUGCCGGAAUGGAAGAAUUUAAUGUUAUUUGAUGUUUUAUGGAUUGAUUAAGUGGAAUUUUUUUGAUGUUUGCUGGUAUCUUAUUUUUAAUACAGAGAGGUAGAACUGGGAAUUUCACGAGAUCAUCUUUAAUUGCUUACCAUAAAAACAAUUUUUUUUUUUUUGCUCAUUGUAGGAGUUUGGGACAGAUGACGAGGAUGACACGUGAUUUUGGAGACUCAAUGCAGAAGGAGGCGAUUCAUUUGGUAUCAACUGAUGUGAAUUUUGUAUUGGGACGGUUUCCAGAUUAUCAGAUAGGAGCCAACAACAUAAUUAUCGAGCCAGAGGAGAAUCCUCAGGUGCCCUCCCUCAAAGAGAUUGUUGCAAAGGAGACAGCUCAGCUGCUGGAGCAGCAGAAGCGUCUCUCUGUUCGCGACCUUGCGGAUAAAUUCGAGAAGGGUCUGUCUGCUGCUGCAAAAUUGUCAGAUGAGGUGCCAUUCCCAUUCUUAAUUUGUAUUCAUAAAUGGCAGCCAUUUGAAACACACAUCUAUCUGCAAGAAGAUAUGUUACAUUGACUUGUCAGUUAUUUAAACAUGUUGCAAUAACUGCCAUAUUUGCCUUGCUGUCAUAUAGAGUCAUUGUCUUAAUUUUUCUUCUUUUUCUUACAAAUUAAGAAUAAUUGAUUGGUAGUUGGACAAUGGUGUAGGAAUUUCAGCUAAGAAGUUGUUAAUCUGGAUGAAACUUAAAAAACAAUAUGAAAGUGUCCUAGUAAUCUGAUGGCACAUUUCCUUUCAUAUUUCUCUUUUUAUCUGUUUGAUAUAUGCUUUACAUCGAAGAAAAUUGCUUAUAUCUAGCAUAAAAUCUUGCUUGGGAUUUCAGUCAAAGUGGAGAGAAGUGGCUUCAUUGGAUAGACAUGUCCUUUUGAAGAAACUCAGAGAUGCACUGGAUCAACUCAGAGGCCGAGUGGCAGGUCGAAAUAAGGAUGAUGCUGAGGAGGCCAUUUCUAUGGUUGGUUCACUUUCUUCUCAUUUGUUUUUCUUAUGCAUGCAAUGGUCUAUACAUAUAUGUAUCAAAUUUUUAAAUCAGAUUGCUGUCCUGUGGCCUUAGACCUUAAGUGUUUAACAGCUUAGAAUCACAGAAGCAUGCAAUUUUGGAACUCUUUUGUUCAAGGAGUUGGUCAUGCAGUGUGUGUGUCAUGCCAAAUUGCAUAUCCUUUUCUACUCAUAUAGGAAAGGCUUUGAGAUUGGUCGCAUGCGGUCGGCCCCGGAACCUAGAAAGCCAUGCCUCUUUUUACAGAAAAAGUGCCAUAAAAAUCUCCCAUUGCGCUGUAUCCCAUGAUCCGAUCCCAGGUCCCGCCACAUAACCCCCUCCUUAUCUCCUCAUCCCAGCUCAAUUGCCCAUAAUUUUUUUCUUAGAAAAAUCCACUACUUUAGUUAUAUAUAAAUGGAACUCCUGAUGCUCGGCAUGCAACUCUGGACUUCAUAACUAUGAAACCUCCACGUGCUUAUUUAACAAAUAAAAAAAUAUGCAAUAGAGUGCACAUGCCUUUUUUUUCUUCCAUAUCCCUCACCCCCUCCAUUUCCUUAAAAGGCAUGUUCAUGGCUCAUGUAACAUACAAGUAAGGAAGAAAUGUCAGACUCGGAUACAGCAGUGCAGCAUCAAUUCCAAAUUCGCAUGUAAUGUUUGGAAGCCAUCACACCAACCGAACUAUAUUGGAGAAAGUAUUGAUAAGGAACUAUGUGGACUUUUCAACAAAGUAUUGAGAAUGAGGUUCGCAAUCUCGGUACUCGACCCUAUAUCAAUACCAUGUUGGUACAUUGUUGGUAUGCUAAUCUGUUGCAGCAGUGCAGCAUCCAUUCCAAAUUCACACGUGAUGUUUGGAAGCCAACACGCACAGCCAAAUUGUACCAAAGAAUGUAUUGAUAAGGAACUAUGUAGGCUUCUGAACAAAAUAUUGAGAACAAGAUUGACAAUCUCAACACUCGACCAUGUACAAUGUUGGUACAAUGGCGGUACACCUGGUUAGUGUACGGACACUCUGCACACUCCCUGUACUGAAUAUUGAUUCAUUACUGGUAAUGGUACCGUAUAUCCAUUACGUGGUGAUACACACCAAUACGGCGAACUCUGAUCGAGAAAUUGUUGAGAAAAACCUUAGGGGCAUAGUACUUAUACUAAAUGCAUUUGCACAUCAAAUAUCCCAUGACUAUGUCAAUGGAUUGGUUUACGAAACACUAUUUGUGGUAAUCAUAUCUAGUGAUUUUUUUAUCAGUUAUCCCAGUUUUAUCUAGUUAUCUCACUGCUGUUCAUGCUAACUUUGACUAUGUUGAAGUCAAACGUGACAAGAUGCUACACUUACUUGUAGGUGGAAGCUUUAGCAGUUCAAUUGACUCAAAGAGAAGGAGAGUUGCUUCAUGAGAAGUCGGAAGUGAAAAAGUUAGCAACUUUUCUCAAACAGGUAAUGUCAAAGCACUUAAAAAUACAUAGUGAAAUAUAACUUCCAUUAAUUGAAUUCACAAUUUCCAUUGUUUUAAUUGCUUACCGUGUUUGCUUUUGUAACUUCAUGGCCCACUAAACUGCAGAUAGUUAUAUGAGCUUUCUAUUCUUUCCUCCUUUUCGUUCAGUCUGAUUGAUAGAUCCAAUCUCUGGAGCUGCUUCAUAUCUCCAAAACAUGCAUUCUCUCACCUUUCUGCCAGCCAAAAUUUUAACAACCACCAGUAAAAGAUGCAGAAAAUGAAAGCUCCAUGCAAUGAAUUUCAGUCUAUUUAAACUUUUAAAAUUUGAAUUGACAGGAAAAUAAAAAAAAUAUUACAAAGAAAUGUUCCCACGAGAAGGGAUGCUACUUUCAACUCAUAGUCACCAGUGGGAAGAAUCUUAAGCACUUCAGAGCAGAUAGAAACCAAAAAACAGAAAUCUUUUAUAUUUGUAUUCACAUAGUGCUGUGAUCACUGGUAAAAUUAUUUUCUUUUUUUAAAUUACACUUAAUAUCUGUCUCUUUUGCUGCUUCCAGGCUAUUGAGGAUGCAAAAAAAGUAAUUGAAGAGGAAAGGGCUAUUGCUCGUGCAGAAAUUGAAAGUGCUAGAGCAGCAGUGCAGAGGGUUGAAGAGGCCCUUCAAGAACAAGAACGAAUGUCCAGAAGUGCGGAGAAACAGGUUGGUAUCAGAAGUUCCUAAUAAAUUUAAUUGGCCUUUUAGCUUGCUAUUGACCCUCAACUAACUAGCAAGACAAAAAUUAGGAAGUGGAUCGACAUUUACUAGCUGCGCUGGAUUAUUUUUAUAAGAGGCCUUUUAAGCUUUGAGUUUUGGCUCUGAUUAUACUUGUUAUCCUCUUUUAUCAGACUUUAUUAUUUGUCUUUAUAGCAUUAUUACUAUUUGUCCUGGAUGUCCAAGAAGUUGCAUUAUAUUUUCUGUAGGAGUUGGAAGAACUAAAGAAAGAGAUUCAAGAGGCCAGGAGAAUCAAAAUGCUGCAUCAGCCAAGCAGGGUACAUUUUCAUUUUUAUUUUUUAUUUAUCUAUUUUGCAAACGUCCAGCCCAGAAUAUAAAUGGCACACUACCCUUUGUUAAUUUGGGUUCUGCUUUGUUUCAUAAAAAAUACUGUUUAAGCUGCUUUUUAUUAGCUCCAGUGACAUCAUGUCUUUCAGUGCUGGCUAUAUUUGUACUCCCUAUAUCGCUAAAUAAGAUAACUAUACACUCAAUAGGUAAUGGAUAUGGAACAUGAACUUCAAGCACUGCGAAUUCAGAUUGCAGACAAGUCUAUGCAUUGCAUUCAGCUAAAGAAAGAGGUAUGUUAUUGAUCACAUUGAUUUUUGUUAUAGUAGAAUAAAAAUAAUCACUGAUUUUGUCAUAUUUGACUCUAUUUGUUAUCCAUUGCCUGCUUCAGUUGCCCAUAUUUCUGCUGCCUGUUUGUUGACCUUUGAUAUGCUUUGUUGCUUGUAACAUGAGUCUUUAACUCCUAUACCCUUACUUUACACAUGUUCGGAGUUUUGGAGAUCAUAAUGUCACUGACUUCUUUUAAAGUAAUCAUGACUAAGUUAUGUUGGUUUUCAUAUACUGCAUCUGUCCUUCAACUUUGAUACUUUCCUCUUUUCCCAUGCUUCUGCUUUCUGUAGCAAGUGAAUGCUAGCUGCUACUGAUAUUGAGAUUUUUAUUUAGUUAAUGUAAUUGUAAUUGUAUUAUCUGAAUCGUGUCGGUGAUUCACAAGUUAUCAAUGAAAAGUCUCUCAAGCAUUGGUCAUUUAAUCCAUUACUGGAAAUAAAGAUCUAUCUUCGCAUACAUGCUACUACUAGGGAGAAAUAUUUUGACAAUGGCUGACAGUUUGCUAAAUCUUUAAACUUUACCAGCUUGCAAUAAUGAAAAAGCUUGAGGAGAACAAGUCAAAUUUGUAUGAGCUUGAGGGUUCUGAAAGUCUAGGAUCAUGUUUACGUAUUGUUCCUCGAAUUGAUCCUGCACCAGACAUCUCUAAUUGCUCUAUUCGGUGGUACCGUACUGAAGGAAGCAAGAAGGAAUUAAUUUCAGGUAUAUGAAUUUAAUAUUUUUGCACUUAACUUAUUUUACAAGUUAGGUUUUACAUGACCAAUUGUUAUAAGUGGAUCAGUUCUUACCUUGUUCAGUUAUUUUCUCAAUCAGCAUCUCUUUCCUUAUGGCUUUUUAACAGAUGAUGCAUCUUUUGUAACCUGGCGUACUAGAGCUGUAUCAUUGUCUUGACAGGCUGUGAGACUAAACUAAAUUGAGGAAGAUGACAAGGCAAAGAGAUUAGAAGAUGCAAAGGCUGUUGUGAAAGGAUCCUGGAUAGCAAACAAGAAGAAGCAAGCUGAAAAUGGUUAAUAGCCUUAAUAAUAUAUCAAAGUGGCAUCAUAGGGAUGGAAAAGACGAGCAAGAUUGUUCAAAUACAUUAAAAUAGUUAUCAAGAUGAUACAAUAGUUAGCUGCUGUAUAAUAAAAGAUGUAGAAGUAAAAUUAGCAUGAUCUUUAUUUAUAGGGCAAAAUCCGUGAGUGAUAAAACACCAUAACUGAAAGAAGGGUAAAUAAUUAAGACUAGGCUGGAAAAGAUUACACACUGGUCCCAUAAGACCUGACAUCUCAAAGUCUCAAUGACAAGCGUCCUAUGCCAAGUGUGUUGGUGUCCAAAAGUAUCUGACAUCUCAACCACCAAAGAUCCUAAUGUGAGGAUAGUUCCGCACAAUGCUAUAUACAAGGUCUGCCGAACCGACCGGAACCGGUCGAUUUAAGCUGUACCGAACCGGUGCCGACAGCUACCAGUACGGUUCGGCUGUGAAAAUCGGUACCGAACCGAAAUCGGUGCAACCGGCACUGGUAGAAGCAGGGAAUAAGAGGAGGAAGAAAGAAGAGAGAAGAAGUGGGGAAGAAGAGGAAGAAAGAAGAGAAGAAGAAGCGGGGAAGAAGAGAAGGCAAGUACCGGAAAAAGGAGGACCUCUCUUCCUUGCUCAUGGGCGGGACCUCUCUUCCUUCCUUGCUCGCGGGAGAACGGGAGGAUCCGGGAAAGAGAGGAGAAGAGAGGAGAGAGGGGAAGAAGGAGGGUUCGGGAAGAAGAAGGGGAGGAAAAAAAAUAAAGAAAGGGAAAAAAAACCCCGCGCAGGGGGCCGAGUGGGGAACCGCGAGCCCGCUCGUAGGGAACUGCGCCCGCACGCGGUUCCCCACGCUGCCUCGAUUCCCCGCGUGGGCUCGCCUCGUCGGGCAGCAAGCCCAUGCAGGCUGCCCCGCGUGGGCUUUAAAUGCCGCAAGAGUGGCAUUUAAUGCUACUCCGUGGUAACGUGCGGGCGCGCGCGCGUCCGCGCGUCGGACGUGUGUUUUUUUCCUAUCUCGACUGGUUCGGUACCGGUUCCGACUGGUACCGAACCGGUACCGUAUCGUAACCGGUCUUCACCGGUACACCAAUACUAUCGGUACCGCAGACCUUGGCUAUAUAUAUAGAAUAAAAAAUACAGCUAUAUCAAAAUAUAUUAAUAAGGUAAGUUAACUAGCCAAUAUAAUUUUUAUUUAGAAAGGAACUUAUAUUUUUUCCAUAAUAACAUUAAAGAAAGAAAAAUAAUCAUUAUGAUGCUUCAAUAGAAGAGUUUGAAUAUUCAGACUAAUACUGUUUGUUGGUGAAUAGUUUAGAGUUCAGUUGUGUCAUCAAUUGCAAUGAGGCUCCAAAAAGCCAUGCCAAAUUCUGCCAUUUCUAGCUGAUGCAUGCAGGACACACCACUUUUAGAGUGUUAUGGAGCAUCAUGCCACAUCCAAGUGUGCAAAAGUGUCAAUACUCCAAAAUUCUGAAAAAAUUGAAAUGUGAGUAGGAUUAAUGCUUUCAUGCCUUGGUGGAUGCUUGAGUAUGUAAAACUAAGAUAGAAUCUUUUUGCUGAUCAGAACUUUAUUAAGGACAGCAAAAAAGAGUAGGAUAAGGAGAAAAAAGAAGAAAGAAGGGAAGAAGGUAAAACUAAGAUAGGAUCUUUUUGCUGAUCAGAACUUUAUUGAGGACAGCAAAAAAGAAUAGGAUAAGGAGAAAAAAGAAGAAAGAAGGGAAGAAGGCUGCUAGAGGGAUUCUACCUGCAGAACAUUUUUUGGAGCUUUCUCGGGUCUGAUUUACUGAUGUAAGCUGCAUGAGGUACAGGCAUAUGAGGCUAAUAACAGACCCAAGGGCAAACAAAGGUCUGCUUUGUGUUUGUGUUGCAGAAAUAGAUCAUAUCUGUUUUUACUCUUUACAUUUAAUUCGAAAGGUUGAUCAAAUGGCGGCACAGAACAGGAAGGAUCAGAGGUUUGAGAGAGAGGAGAGUGGCAUAGAACGGGAAUGAGAGAAGUUUAAGAGAGAGGAGAGACUAGAAGUGCGGGCACCUUUUUUAGUUCAUGCAAACUGAAAGAACUGUCAGUUGGGAUUCCUGGUUCACAUAUAUCUGUUGUCCUCUUGGCCAGGCACUCUUCCCUGAAAUAGUCUCUUUAGGGGACUCAAACAACCUGCUAUCAGAAAACAUCCAUAAAUUGGGAAUAAAUCUAAGAAAUCCAUUUGUAAAUGGCACAUCCAGCUGAAACUAAAUCUCUGCUAUAUUAAAAGAUCUUGGAUUGAAUUUUUGGGUCCAUCAUUUUACUUCCUAAGUUACCAUUAGUUUUCUUGGAUGUCUUUUUAAGAAAUCUAUUCCACAAUUUCUUGUUGUUUCAAAUACGAUAAAAUACCGAUUAUGAUCUUCUUAAUACCCGUCUUUUCGUAUCCAAACCCCCAACCUGCCAUUCCUCUCUCUCUCUCUCUCUCUCUCUGUCUCUGUGUGUGUGUGUGUUGUGUGGUUCUAAUCCCCGACCUCCUCCUCCCUCUCUAUUUCUAAUCUUGCUCCUUCCAUUUUUAUCCCUCCAUCAUGCUUAUCUAGUUGGACCCUCUCCUCUUUCCUUCUCUCCCCUCAUAAUUGAUUUUAAAAAUGAGGUCAUGUGUUCUCUCCAUCUUUAUCCUUAAACAACCAUCCUCUAUUGUUUAUGAAAUCUUAUUAGGCAAGAGAAAUUCAAGUUUUCAUUACCUAAUAUAUGUUGCUAUUGUAUUUCUUAAAUGCAUGAAAGUAACAAGAAGAUCAAAGAUAAAACAUGAACCACUUAUUUCUUUAGACUUUGUUAGGAUUUAAAUUUUACUUGUGUUGUUGCUAUACCUUUAAUAAUAUAAUUUUUGCUUGUUCGUCUUUGUAGUUCACUUUUAUUUUAUUUAUAUGGUUUUCUUUAUUUAUUUGACAUACAACAAACAUGCGUAUGUAGUAGAUGAACUAAAAAAGGAUUAAACAAAAGCACUUGGGCUGGGCUUUUCUUUGAUCAGCAAGUCCUGGCCAAAGAAUUCAAUUAUGCUGGUCCUUGGCUAAUUUCUAGUUGCAUAACUUUUGGUUUUUAAACCACGGAGAAGAAAGAAAGAGAAGGAUGAAGGAAGAAAAGCAAGAAGACAGGAAAAGAAGCAAAGAAACAAGGGGAGACCGAGAUGCCUGAGAGAGAUUUCUUCUUUAAAGAAGCUUCUUCCACUGACUGUCACUUAAGUAUCUGUAAAUUUGUGUUUUCCCUUUUCCCUACCAUAGAAAAACUUAGUGCCAAUUUAUGUAGAUUCUUAUUUGGGCAGGGUGAUGGGUCAAUGACUCAAAUGUCUCCUUUUUGAACCUCCUAAUCACUAUCUAAAAUCUAUGUAAGGUUAACUCCAAAAACACAAAUUAAUAGUAGAACUUUAAACCAUCAGUUUGUUUUUUAUUGUGUUGAAGAGUUUUUUAUUGUUUUGUAAAAUGAUAUGUAUACAUUAAUCUACAACUGACACUCUCUUCUUUUCUUCUAAUUCUUAUCUACUUAAUUUUACUAAGAAGUAUAUUGCCUCUUUGCAUCAUUCUUUAUUUAUAAUUCUGCAAAGCACAUGCCGAAAACAUUUCUGUUUAUUCCCAUGUCAAUUAUGAUUGUAUCAAACUUUUUAUCACUUGCAGGGGCAACAAAGACAGUGUAUGCUCCAGAACCUUUUGAUGUUGGACGAUUUUUGCAAGCCGAGAUUGUUUUAAAUGAUGAAAGGUUCACAGUGACAACAACGAGUCCGAUAGAUCCUGGUUUGGCCCCUUUACUUUGUGACAAUAUAUUGUCCACUAUAAUAUCAUUUGUAAAGUAAUUGUCUUUUCAUGCAUGUUUUUCCAUAGCUCUAUUGAAAUUACAUGAAAGAAAUAGUCAGCAGCAAGCCAAGAUCCUAUGUGUAUCUAUUUAGGUGCAAAUCUGGAUAUCUGAAUAUAUAUGCUAUGGAUUGGAAGUUCUGGUUCUUCAAGCAUUUAGCUUUAUGAUUUCUUUUGUCAAAGCAAAUCUGUGGAAGUGAAAUUAGUGAUGACCUUUCAUUUUAGAAUGUGGAUGCUAGAUCAACUACAUUGUUUAGUAAAGGGUAGAUAGGCUAGAUUUGGGCGGUGAGAGAUACAUUUCAAGAUAGUGCAAUAUCAGAUUAUAUUGAAUUGAUUUUUGAUACUCAUACACAAAAAUAUAUAUACAUACAUAUACAUUAACCUUUUAUUUUUUUCAUGGGCGUCGGCUAAAGUUAUUCUAACUUAGUUAUCCUGUACAGCUGCAGGAUUAGGAAGCUAUGUGGAGGCACUUGCGAGAAGGCCAGAAACUGAGUUUAAUGUAAGAUUUCAUGCUGGUUUUAGCACCUUGAUAUUGCUAUGCUUGUAGGCUGUUACUUGCCUGAUGACACAAUGUGGGCUCUUGACAAGUUUGAUUAGAGAAGUUAACCUUCUAAUGCACAUCAGUCCUAUCAAACAUAAAUCUGUUAGGCCUUUUUCAUUUCUGAGUUUAUUAUUUUUUUUGUCCUCUCUAAUUUUGUUGUAUUCCUCAUGCUUCCCUUCAAAAAGUAAAGUUUUCUUCCAUGGAUACGUAUUUAAUUACUUAAUUAAUUGGAUGGUUGCUUUACGUUUACCUAGCCUUUACUUACCAUAAAGAACUCAGUCAUAAUUGGAUUUUAAUGCAGCAGGAUUGCUGCUGUAUCUUGUUUAAAUUUACCUCCCAAUAGUGCCAUUCGUUUCUACCCAAGGUUGUACCUCACAUUCCAGAAAGUAAUUUUAAUCCAACUUUUUGCACUUAUAUCCUUGUUAUUUUUAGAUUUCUCUAUCCUCUUUUCAUUCUCUUCAACUCAGAUUAGUACCCUACUGUUCCUGUCUUUUGAUGGCUAUGGUAACACCAUCGUUACUGUUUCAUUGCUUUCUUUUGGUAUUCCUAGGUUUACCAGAAUCUUCCCAUUCAAGAAAAUGCACCCUAUUUAUAGCAGGUUUGCAAAUCAAUGCUCUAUUGCCCUUACUCACGACCAAGUGCUUAUGUAUUUAUAGCUUUUAUAUUUCCUGUAGUCUAAGGCUGCGUUUGGAAGUGGAAUAAGUUAACCCAGAGUAAGUGGUUAACUUACUCCUACUCCUCUUUACUCUGGAAUAAAUUACUCUGUUUUUGAUGUAAUUUAUUCCUUGGUUAAGUGGGAUAAUAGUUUGGAAGGGUUUUCUCCUCUUCUAUCUAUCUAGUUCGUAAGUCAUAGAUGAAAGUAAUGAGAGGCAUUUCCCUUUCAAAGAAUAUGGCCUUGGAUGGGAAUGAAAGGGAAAGGAGGAAUUGUGUGCAGAAGCUUAGUUGGACUUCCUUAGAGAGCUCCUUAAUUUAAUCUCAUCAUGAAGUUGAAUUUCUUUAAGAUUUUUUUAACAAAUAUUGAGAAAUAUCAUUAGCAUUUUGAAAGAAAGUCGAGCAUUUAGAUCUUUCUUUGGAAUGGAUCAACUAUUUAACCAACAUCCAUGCCAUCUUUCACAGUGAGCUUAUUCACAAAUCCAUAGGCUCAUCUGAGGUCCUUGCUUGGUCUCCCUCUCUCUCUCCCCCCCACCUUUUCUCUGUGUUAGUGGGUGUUUUCAUGUUGCUUUGGUGAUGAUUAGAUUCAAGUUUGCACGUUCUCAAUCUCAAGUUUGUUGUAAAGAGAAUUAUUAUUGAAAGAAAUAAUCAGAUUGUCAAGAUGUGAUUGAGCAGCACGUUUUAGAGAUCUAUUUGUAGCCUGCAAAUACUUUUCCAAAGAUCAAGUUCUUGAGCUACUGAGAAUGAAGACGUAUGAUGAUCCUUUUGAUAGUGUUGGUCUUAAUGUGCUCCUACUUAAGAACACUCCAGUUUUCACAGUUGUUGCAGUAUAUUGUUUCAAUUGUACUUCUAUUUUUACUAUUUUCUGAAAAUGCCAUACAAACCAAUGUUUUAAAUAGCAAGAUACUCAUCAUCCUUAUAUAUGUAUAUAUUGUUUGCGUGUGUGUAUGUAUGUAUGUAUGUAUGUAUGUAUGUGUGUGUUUGUAUAUAUGCGAAUUGAUCCAAGUGAUGAUCUAGCAAGUAACAACUUCACGUUCAAUGGAUUUUGAAACAGCAUAGGACUGCUUGUUUCAACACAUUCAACGGUUUUCGUAUGUUACAUUUGUUGGCUGCUUUCGUCAUGUUAAAAGCAGCUUUAAAAAAGAUUAAUAUGUUCUGUUUAUCAUACGUUAGCAAUAUAUGAUCAUUAUUAUGAUGCUUGUGUUCUGUUGGUUUCUGGGGUUGGCUUGAUAUUUAUAACUGCUUUUUUAGAAAGGGAAGCAUGAAUAUACAAAUGAUUUUUUCAACUGACACUUGAUAAACUGCAAUUGUUUCUUUUUCUAACUGAUUCUAACCCUUAAAUGUUUAUUAUGUUGCUUUUCAGGUGGUUGUCACACAAAUGAAUUGUCGUGAUUAUUCCUCGCAGUCCAUUCAUGUGUUUCAUGUGGGGAAGAUGAGAAUAAAGCUUUGUAAGGGGAGGAGUACAAAAGCAAAAGAAUCAUAUUCUGCUUCAAUGCAGGUAGCAGCCUGACCUGGAGUAUGGAUCUUUAACUUGGGAAGCUAAAUGAUGCACUUUUUUAGAAUAUUGAAUAUUUUCUUCUAAUCCAACUAACAUGGGACAUACAUCCAAUGGUUGUGGAGAAACAUGUUCUUUCAAUUGGUACUCACUACUCAGAUUCGGAUAGAACUUGCAAAGAUGCAUCCGAUACCACUUCACAAGUUUGUAUGUGGAUACAUAGAUACAUUUUCCCUCUCUGCCACAAUUCAUGGUACUGAUAGGCCUUAAAUGUGCAGUAUUUAGGGCCUCUAAGUAUGCACUCAUUGAUAUGCCCAUGUGAUCAUUCCCAAACAUUUAGGAAGUGGCUUGGAGUUGUGGAGAAAGCAGGUAGAAAGGACCUGGUUGGUUGUUGGUCCGGUAAUUCCUAAAGUUUUAAGGACACUGAAAAUUGCUUUAAAAGGACCAUGCAAAACUGAUAUCUGACUGCAACCAUUUCCCAGCCGUACUAUAGUUCAGAGCAUCAUGCUAUCCCUACGGAUAUGUGACUUAUGAUGCUUUGCUGAUUUUCCCUUCAUGAGAUUCAUGUUCCCCUUGUCUAAUGCAAUUUGUGUUUCAACAUAUACGUGAACUGGACUUUAUUUACAUAACUGAACUAUGUUGAAAAAAUUGUAAUAUUAACGUAGAAAUUAAAAGUCAUGUGUGUUGACAGUAGUGACCUGGAUUUGAAUCCUGGCCUCACCUGCUGUCAGCUGGGCUUCCUCCUGUCCUAGUUCUCCCCCUCCAAAAAAAAAAGAAGAAUUAAAGGUGGCACGGAUUGUUGUGCAAGCUGGGCUUGUAAGAACAUGUCGUUAGACCAUUGGCAAAGCUGCAAUAAUCUAAGUUGGCUUCAGUUCGCUCUCUUUUUUCCACAGCUAAAUUCUUGAGCGUAUCUAAUUUUGUUACUUUCCCUGGUCAACCUCCAGCUUUGUGGGGUUAGAGGUGGUGGAAAUGCUGCAGCUCAGUCAAUCUUUUGGCAAGCUAAGAAAGGUCUUUCCUUCAUAAUAGCUUUUGAAUCGGAGAGAGAAAGGAAUGCAGCAAUCAUGCUUGCCCGAAGAUUUGCUUUUGACUGCAAUGUAAGUAUCCAUUCCUUAACAAUAAUUCAUCAGUUAUCUGUGUUUGCUUGCAUUGGGCAUAUUAAAUUCAUGUUGGAAAUCCAUGGAAUCUGUCAGCCUGCUUUCAGCUUGUUCUACUGUAUAUUGAUUUAAAACCUAUAUACUCCUAUUUUCAUAGCUUUUUGCAUUUGCUGGCAAUUGUCAAAUGUUAGAACUAAAUUUCCUUUCUUUAUCUGAUGCAUACCAGGUCAUGCUUGCUGGACCCGAUGAUCGAGCUCCUACUGGGACCUCAUAAAAGUGAUGAACUUCUGUAUGACCGUAAGUAUGUCGAGGCUGUGCAGUUGUGUAUUUGUAUGAUUGUUAUAGGUGAAAGCUGAUAGAACGACUGUAACUGAGGCUUCUGUUAUUCUAUUCUGUUCAGCACCAAGGCAUCCUUUUAUUUGCCUUCACACCAAAUUGUAACCAUUCAUUUACAGCUAUUGUAUAGGCGGGUUCUGUUAUUCUGAUCGUGUUCAACAUUAAGGCAUCCUUCAUUUUCUCUCGACAAAGACCUCAUUCUAGACUGAGUACACGCAUAUUCCUGUCAUAAAUGUUAGAAUAGGAUGCUUAUCAUUCAAAGAAGUUUAGUCACCCUGUCAAAAUGGCUCUAGGCGAGUGAAGCACAACAAACCCUUCAUAUCUUUUUUACUGUCCUCAUCUAUAUAUCCAGUAUAGGUAGACAAUAAUUGUGUUUGGGACUAUGGGCUGGUGGCCAAAAAUUUAUGUGAAAUUGAACAACCUGUUUCUUCUACCUGCUUAGAAAAUCAAACCAUACCUCAAUAACAUGAUAUCAGCAUAAAACAUGUACUUGGUUUCCAAGUCAAAGCAAUACAUCCAAGAGUCAGAACUGAGAUGACAGGGAUGAGGAUGGGAGUUCAUAUAGGUUGCUGCAGCGAACAGAGCAGAUGUCUCAUUUUAUCGCUCAAGACUUGAAGAACUUGUGUUGUAUAUCAAGAAUAAAUGGGAGCUAUCGACAUGCACCAGUAAGUGGGCUGACACCAAAAUUCCCGUCUCUGACAUAAAACUAGUGUAGCGUUAAGAAAAUCAACAGUCAGCCAUCGCAAAUAUAGCAUAGAUACUGGGAUGGCAAAUGACUCGAUCAGAGGCUACUGAGAUCACUCUACAUUUCUAGUGACCAGUGACCGGGCAAAAUGCUACCUCUGGUGCAAGUCUUAAGGUUUAUGCAUCAUUCCUUUUACAGCCUGCUACUGCCAUUCAUCUGCAUACAGUGAGACAUCGGUCUCGACCACCUUUUAAUCCAUCAUGAAGAUAAUGAUGGGGUUUAAGAGGCCUUUCUCUGUGUUGUUACUCCUUACUCGAGCAUAUGUUUCCAGGAAAAAGAUCGGGAUACCUCGAUCAAUUGAUUUCAUGCGAUGGUCAAACGAAGAUUACAACCAAAUGGCACUAAGACGUAAUGAUCAUGCAACUGUAAAGGAAAAAAAAUAAUGAUUAAAAAAUUAUAUAACGUUUUAUAUUAGACAUUGAUAAAGAUCUGGGCACCAUAUCCUAAGUCAAAUACGUGGAUGGAAGCUGACCACCAGGCUUGUUGGGAACUCUAACCAUCUGUGUGAGUGUUACUGUGAGUGUUGGGGCGUUCAGCUGGACGCCUGGGGCAGCUCCCAGGCAGGUCGUAGGAGCCCCUGGGCUGCCUUGUACAGCUGCCUUACUGCCCAAGAGUGAUCUAGUUCCCAUUCUAUUCUCAUCCCAUUUUUACCGGUUCGAUCAUGGUGUAGGAUUAUUGUCGGGCGAAUCUGCAACGAUGGAUUUCAGGAAAUCCUAGUGCAUGGCAGAAGCAUGUUAAAAUCAUCAAGCAGGUAAAUUAAGUUAUAUUCUGCAGCAAAUAUAUUAUAGCACCAUUCAGUACACAAGGUGUAUGCUAUUUUUCUAGAUCACAUAUCGAAUGCGCACAGCGAAAACACUAUAUAAAUCACAAGAACAUGUCAGUUGUGUUGAAUUUUCUGCUGCUAAGAUAGCAUAGUAAUGAAGUUGCACAAAAGAAUUGUAUAUAAAGAUCAUGAAUUACUUCAAGAUCCCAAACUAUGCUGGAGCUUGACGGUCCAUUCAGAGUUCUUUCAUUGCAUCAAAUCCUGGAACAACACAUGAUCUCAGAUGGAACCCGAUAAAAAAUCUGAUAAUCCAAAAAGUAUUUUGGCCGAUUCUAAAAUGCAGCCUGACCCAAAGAUUAUUGAGAAGGUGAAAAGAAAAAAAAGCCAUUAGACUCCUUCGACAUUCCCAUCCAAUAACAGUAUCCCCAAAAGCAAUGUGGUAAAGAUGGCUGAUUAUGUCUGACAUGAUUCAUUGCGAAGGCCUGGGAGAUUUGUUGGGUAGGAUGUUGUCAGGAAGAAUAAGCUCUGGUGGUACUUCUCGAACAACUCCAAGCAUUGAAUCAUAAUCCUCAUCCCUGCGAGCAUACUUCUUGCGCAGCCCCUUCUCUAACUCGAUAUCAUCGAAUGCCUUAGCAUUCUCAGCAGCAUGUACCUGGGCCAAAUUGGAAUAGUUGGUUGCUGAUUGGGAAAUGAAAGCAAUCUCUUCUUCUGUGAGCUUCCUCAGGAACUUUGCUGGAUUACCUCCCCAUACCUGUCACUUGAUUUUAAAUUUUAUUAACCAGUCAACACAAUCACAACAAGAUAGAAUUAAUAAGCAAAGGCCAAAUUAAUUCUCGCCUCUGUCUUUUUACAUGUCAGGAUUUGAAUUUUUCUUCUAAAAUUGGCGUAUUGAACAAAAGCAUUAAUUAAUAGGAAGAACUUAUGCUGAUUAAAAAACUAAAAACAGCUAUUAGUUGCAGUGAAUUUGUCAUUGCCAUAAGAAUUUUGAAGAUAUAAUGAAAAGCACAAAUUGGAUGGUUUGACUUAUCCAGGUCAAAUUAGUAUCUGGGUUAAAGGCCAUUCAAGAGGUAAUACUCUACGCAUAUCGCAUAUUGCUUACUUUGUGCCAGUUCCAGAGAUCAUUGCUCAAAAAAACCCUAGAAUUUGUGCGAGCAUAAGCUUUGGCAGAUGCAAUAUUCUUUGAAAGCAAAGAGUGCGGAAGUAUUAUGGAAUAGAGGUGAAGACUACCUCUCCGCAUGGGAUCUUCGUAUUUUGCCUUACAAGGGCACCAGCAGCAACCAUGCCGUGUUUUUCCACGACAACCCCAUCAAGCAGGACUGCACCCAUACCAACAAAAGUCUCGUCCUCGACAGUGCAUCCAUGUAAGACAGCACUAUGACCUGUAAUAUUCAAGCUCUUAAACAUCAAAAUGGUUAAUCAGCUUACAAGAUGAUAUUACAGUUUGUAAUCCUUUUGGACCUCAUAGCAAUUAGAUGAGAAAGAGAAAGAAUCCAUUCUUAAUCUUGUAUUAUGAUACAUCCGAAUGUUUAGAUUCAGUGAGGUAUCAGCCAUCAAGCUUUUCAGUAAAAACAUACAGAAAAGAGGAACUAAAACAAGACACAUGGCUUGAAGAAUAUCCAUAGGGCCUGACUGAAUCAGUUGACAAGAAAUAUAAGCCAAUAAUGGAAUUAGUGUCAUAAUACUUACCUAUUGUAACAUUAUCUCCAAUAAUGGUCGGCAAGACCUUCCCACUUAAAUUAGACUUUGCUACAUGCACAAGUGAAUUAUCUUGUAUAUUAGUUCCAGAUCCCACACGGAUGCGGUUCACAUCACCUGGAGAAAUGAGAUAUUAGAACUUUUAGAUACAAAUGACCAUCAGAAAAUGGAAAAAAUACCACCAAAAUGCAAUAAAAAUUAUGUGCCACUAAACAUCAUUUUGAAGAUGUCAUUAGUGGAGAAUCUAGAUGUCAGCAAAGAUCAGUUGGUGGCGAUCUCCCUGCACCUGACCCCUUUUUGACAGUACAAUUACUUUUCCAGCAACUCAUCUUUUUCUAUAAAAGAGCUUGUCAUUGUCAUUCUUUUGAUAUGUAAUUUGUUGGCUGAUAUACAAGACAGCAAAGGAAAUACACCAAAAAUAUGUGGUUGCCACUUUCCUACAUCUAACUCCUUUGUAACAGAACAUUUUUUUCCCCAAGCAAUUCAUAUUUGAACAUGAAAAAUCAAAAAAUCGCAAUCCCAGAGAUUCAUACUCAUCUCUCAGAUCAUCCAGAAUCUCCAUUUUCAUUGAUGUCUUACAAGCUAUUGCUGCAUAAGCUGGAUGAGAUAUGACUCAUGUGACAACAGAGAUCUUCCCAAAACUAGGCUACGUAACAUGACAUGACAUGGGAAACAUAUGCGAGAUGAGCUACAUAUAAAAGCACUGAUUUGUUUUAAAAUCCUUAAAUGCUAAAAUGACAAAGACUAUCUUAAGAUUGAUGCAAGAACUCGUAUCAAAAAUCCUCUUCUUGGAAUUUGGAAUAUCCUUUUAACCAUCAAACCAUGGCAUUUGGAAUAAUUUUUUAACCAUCAUAACCAAUUUUUUCAAUUUUUAAUCUUGUCCUAAUAUCCAUUUGAAGUGGUAGUUCUAUGAGCAAUAAUAAUUAAAAUUAAUAUGCAAAACAGAGUAAAAAGGACUUCAUAGUCAGCAGAACUUCGGAUACUGCAUAGGAAACAUGAAAUGAGAAAUAGUCUACCGAGUCUAAUUUUAGCAAUUUGGAAAACAAGAAUGCAUACAAUGUAGAAAUGGGUGAAAGACUUAAGAUAGGAUUUCAAAUGAAAUAUCCCAUGGAGUUUGGAGCUCCUGCACAACUGCCUCACCUGAUGACCAUGCGGCAUUUCGCAUGAUAAAACCUUAAGGCUUUGCAGGAUCAUAAAUCUACUCCUCAAAAGGAGUUCUCCUUUGGUGAGACAUGCUAUGAACAAAUGAGAUAUUUGAUCAUGACCCCCUGAAAUUCACCUUAUGAGAGAGGUUUUUUUUAAAUAAUUUUUUAUGUAGGCCCAAGGCUUCCAGUGAACUCAAGAAUUCACCAUUAACUACAUCCAAACAUUGGGGCAAUUUUGAUUAAGAGACCUUGUCCACAAGUGUUGAAAGAAGAUAAAACAGAAUAAAUAUAAAUCUGAAUUUCAUUAAUCUGCUCGCUCAAUAUUACAUGGCUUAACCAGAGGCACACCAACAGUUUACAUCAAAAAUAGAAUGAAUAGAUCUUUAUACAUGAUUUCGCAUGCUGUAAGUUGAAGCAAAUGUGCAUGAUAGCAAGAAGAACAUGGAUCCACUUAGAGAUAAAGAGAUCCAUUAGCAUCUUGUUUUGAACUUGCCCAGUUUAAUGACAUGGGAGAUUGAGCUUGAAUUUGUAUGGUUUUGUCCAGUUUAAUGACAUGGAGGUCAAAAGUUGCAUUUGAGUAGAGUUAGAGGACUAACUCUAAUUGGAAUCAAGAAGGGUUAGAGGACUAACCCUAACUUGACCUUGAUUUAACAAGGGCCAAAUGACUAACCUAAGCUUGAGCUUGACUAGGACCAGAGGACUGUUCCUAGCCUAGAUUUGAACAGAGGACUAAUCAUAACCCGAGCUUGAUUAGGACCAAAGUACCAAUCCUAGCUUGGAAUUGACUUAACCAAGGUGAGGACCAACCCUAGCUUAGAUUUGACUAGGGUCAGAGGACAAACCCCUGGAUGAGCUUAUCCAAGGUCAAAGGAUUAACCUUGACUUGGAUUUGACUAGAGUCAGAGGACUAACUCUAAUCUGAACAUGACCAGGAUUAGAAGACUAAUGACUUGAAUUUGACUAAGGUCAGAAGAUUAACUCCAGCACGAGCUUAAGCGGGUCAGAGGACUAACCCUAACUUGGAUUUGACUAUAAUGAGAGAACUAACCUCAACAUUAGCUUAACUAGGGUCAAAGGACUAACCUUGACUUAGAUUUGACUAGGAUCAAAAGACUAAUCUCAACAUAAGCUUGACUAGGGUCAAAGGACUAACCUUGACUUGGAUUUGAUUAGGGACGGAUAACUAACUCUAGUACAAACUUGACCAAGGUUAGAUGACUAACCAUCACUUAAAUUUGACUAGGGUUAGAGGACUAACCCCAACAUAAGUUUAACUAAGGUUUGAGGACUAACCUUGACGUGAAUUUGACUAGGGUUAGAGAACUAACCCCAAUAUAAGCUUAACCAGGGUUAAGGACCAACCCUGACUUGAAUUUGACUAGAGUCAGAAGACUAACCCAAGCAUUAGCUUGACCAGGGUCAGAGGACUAAUCUUGACUUUAUUUGACUAAGGUCAGAGGACCAACCUGACCAAGAUCAGAGGACAAAUCUUGACUUUGGAUUUGACCAGAGUCAAAAGACUAACUCCCACAUGAGGAAAAAAGUUGCCAACUAGGACUCAAGGGUCGAGUUAGCCACAUAAGGAAAAGGGACACCAACUAUGAUUUACCCUAGCUUUGACUUGAAUAGGGUCAGGGGAGUAACCUUGAUUUGAGCUUGAGAAGGGUCAGAGGAUUAACACUAAUUGGUUCUAACCAGAGCCAGAGGACUAAUUCCCGUUUGGAUAGGAUUAAGGCUUGAUGACUAUCCUUAGCUUGAAUUUGAGCAGGUUCUGAGGACUAACCCUAACUUGGAUGUGAUUUAACCAUUCGCCGCUUAGAUUUUGACUAGUAUUUGGCCUUAUGCAACCCACUUGAAGCUACCGUGCUUUUCCCAUGGAUUUAGUUUGACAGGAAUCAAGGGGCCCAUCUGGAGCCAGACUAGGAUUUUCAGCGAUGAACUUCAUGCUCGGCCUUCUAUAGCCUUUCUGAGCUAGACUUCAGCUUUUGUUCAAUAAACUUAGUGCUGGACCUUGUGCAGCUCGCUUGAGGUUGAUUUGUGCUUUUGAUAAUUAUGUGAUGGGACUCGUGUAAACUUUUUGAGCUUAACUUGCACUUUUGACGAAUGAACUAACUGAUGGGCCUCAUGACACCCGUUGAGCUUGAUGAUAGGCCUUGUGUUGUCCUCUAAAGCUUGAUUUGGGCCUUAACCAUUUCUGACUUGGGCUUGACCAGCUUGAAUUGAUUGGGGCUAGAUGCUUCCAAAGUUGGGUAUCAACCCAAUAGAAGCAGGACUUCAAACACACUAGAACUAAAGAAGAUUAAUCCACUCAUAUCCAGCCAAAAUUAUUCAACCAAAAACAUAUGCAGAUAUUUUGACUUUAGCAAUAAAUCAGAUAUGAAAACACAGCAAGUAUCCAAAUUUUGAACAGAAUAACUAAUUUUAGAACCAAAUUUCAGAAAGAAUUUCCAGUAUUAACCUUCUAGAGUCCAGAUUUCUACAUUAAUAUUUCAUCUUCCUACACUUUUAGAAGAGCCAUCACAUAAAUAUGCGUGUAAAACACAUCUUUAUACACAACCACUCUAAGACACAAGAAGCCUGUAAACUUGGUUUAUAAAACUAUCAUGUCAUACUUAAAUGGAAAUCAAAACAAAAGUACAAGAUAGGAUCAAAAUCUUUUACCAUAAUGCCUUGAGGAGCAGAUACGUAUAGCAAAGGAGAUAAAUCAUUGUUCCACAUUAUUUAUACUACAGAAUUUGGACUUGAAGAAACCAUUUCAAAAGUUCAACUAAUCAAAAUUUCUUUUUAAGCAGAUGAAUAUCAAAAUUAGGAUAUCGUUUUUUAAAUAAAAAAUUAGCCAGGAUAGAAACUAUUGAUAAAUUGAUAUUUCGAUUAGAUCAAUAUGUCAAAUUAUCUAAGUGUGCAUCCUAGAAAAUUUAGCAUAAAUAUCGAACACCAUAAACAUUACACAAUCAUGUUCAAAAUUUG